RNAcentral lists this small RNA (448 nucleotides) under Pongo abelii (Sumatran orangutan). RNAcentral's name for it is "retained intron". Lineage: Eukaryota; Metazoa; Chordata; Mammalia; Primates; Hominidae. The record is from RNAcentral.
UAGAAAACUGGAAUCACAAAUAUAUAUUUGGAAAACUCGUGUUAAGUUUUAUGGAAGCACAAGUCUAUGGCAGUAGUUGCUACUUUGGCCUUUUUCUUUCAGUGAAAGAUGUCAUGUAUAUCUGCCCAUUUAUGGGAGCAGUGAGUGGAACGCUGACAGUGACGGACUUUAAGCUGUACUUCAAAAAUGUCGAGAGGGACCCGCAUUUUAUCCUUGAUGUUCCCCUUGGAGUGAUCAGCAGAGUUGAGAAGAUUGGAGCACAGAGCCACGGAGACAAUUCCUGUGGUAUAGAGAUAGUGUGCAAGGAUAUGAGGAACUUGCGGCUUGCUUAUAAACAGGAAGAACAGAGUAAACUAGGGAUAUUUGAAAACCUCAAUAAACAUGCAUUUCCUCUUUCUAACGGACAGGCACUAUUUGCAUUCAGCUAUAAAGAAAAAUUUCCAAUUAA